This 175-nucleotide ribosomal RNA is filed under the name uncultured bacterium. Its description in RNAcentral is "partial 16S ribosomal RNA". It matches the Rfam family "Eukaryotic small subunit ribosomal RNA", at positions 412 to 586 of the family's 1831-position model. The record is from RNAcentral.
ACUCCUACGGGAGGCAGCAGGCGCGCAAAUUACCCAAUCCUAAUUCAGGGAGGUAGUGACAAUAAAUAACGAUACAGGGCCCAUUCGGGUCUUGUAAUUGGAAUGAGUACAAUGUAAAUACCUUAACGAGGAACAAUUGGAGGGCAAGUCUGGUGCCAGCAGCCGCGGUAAUACA